Molecule: ribosomal RNA, 851 nt
Filed under: Paraphaeosphaeria michotii
Lineage: Eukaryota; Fungi; Ascomycota; Dothideomycetes; Pleosporales; Didymosphaeriaceae
Description: eukaryotic LSU rRNA
Rfam family: Eukaryotic large subunit ribosomal RNA
Source: RNAcentral
CAACAGGGAUUGCCCUAGUAACGGCGAGUGAAGCGGCAACAGCUCAAAUUUGAAAUCUGGCUCUCUUUGGGGGUCCGAGUUGUAAUUUGCAGAGGAUGCUUUGGCAUUGGCAGCGGUCUAAGUUCCUUGGAACAGGACAUCACAGAGGGUGAGAAUCCCGUACGUGGUCGCUUGCCUUUGCCGUGUAAAGCUCCUUCGACGAGUCGAGUUGUUUGGGAAUGCAGCUCUAAAUGGGAGGUAAAUUUCUUCUAAAGCUAAAUACUGGCCAGAGACCGAUAGCGCACAAGUAGAGUGAUCGAAAGAUGAAAAGUACUUUGGAAAGAGAGUCAAAAAGCACGUGAAAUUGUUGAAAGGGAAGCGCUUGCAGCCAGACUUGCCCGCAGUUGCUCACCUAGGCUUUCGCCUGGGGCACUCUUCUGCGGGCAGGCCAGCAUCAGUUUGGGCGGUUGGAUAAAGGCCUCUGUCACGUAUCUUCCUUCGGGAUGACCUUAUAGGGGAGGCGUAAUGCAACCAGCCCGGACUGAGGUCCGCGCAUCUGCUAGGAUGCUGGCGUAAUGGCUGUAAGCGGCCCGUCUUGAAACACGGACCAAGGAGUCUAACAUCUAUGCGAGUGUUUGGGUGUCAAGCCCGAGCGCGUAAUGAAAGUGAACGGAGGUGGGAACCUUUUAGGUGCACCAUCGACCGAUCCUGAUGUCUUCGGAUGGAUUUGAGUAAGAGCAUAGCUGUUGGGACCCGAAAGAUGGUGAACUAUGCUUGAAUAGGGUGAAGCCAGAGGAAACUCUGGUGGAGGCUCGCAGCGGUUCUGACGUGCAAAUCGAUCGUCAAAUUUGGGCAUAGGGGCGAAAGACUAA